UACAGAGGUCUCAAGCGUUGUUCGGAUUCAUUGGGCUUAAAGCGUGUGUAGGCGGAUCGGUAAGUACCUUGUGAAAUCCCACAGCUUAACUGUGGAACUGCUUGGUAUACUGCCAGUCUUGAGCCAGCUAGGGGCUACCGGAACAAAUGGUGGAGCGGUGAAAUGCGUAGAUAUCAUUUGGAACGCCAAUGGUGAAAACAGGUAGCUGGGGCUGUGCUGACGCUGAGACACGAAAGCCAGGGGAGCAAACGGG
Molecule: ribosomal RNA, 253 nt
Filed under: uncultured bacterium
Lineage: Bacteria
Description: partial 16S ribosomal RNA
Rfam family: Bacterial small subunit ribosomal RNA
Source: RNAcentral